Molecule: long non-coding RNA, 462 nt
Filed under: Mytilus galloprovincialis (Mediterranean mussel)
Lineage: Eukaryota; Metazoa; Mollusca; Bivalvia; Mytilida; Mytilidae
Source: RNAcentral
UGUCGGAAAGUAUCUAAAUUCCGUGUAAACGAGCAUAGGGUGCAAAUUAGUUUUGCGGAAAGUUGAAUAAAAAAUCGACAGAUAAUUUUCUAAGUACUAAAUAAAAUUUCAAGUUUGUUUAAAAAUAUUCAAUAUGCUAAUCAAGUUAUGUUCAUGUUGUAAUUAAUGGGUUGAAAUAUUGUUUUUAUGCCCCACCUACGAUAGUAGAGGGGCAUUAUGUUUUCUGGUCUGUGCCUCCGUUCGUUCGUCCGUUCGUUCGUCCGACUUCAGGUUAAAGUUUUUGGUCAAGGUAGUUUUUGAUGAAGUUGAAGUCCAAUCCACUUGAAACUUAGUACACAUGUUCCCCAUGAUAUUAUCUUUCUAAUUUUAAUGCCAAAUUAUAGUUUUGACCCCAAUUUCAUGGUCAACUGAACAUAGAAAAUGAAAGUGCGAAGUUCAGGUUAAAGUUUUUGGUCAAGGUAG